Molecule: non-coding RNA, 145 nt
Organism: Gossypium hirsutum (cotton)
Lineage: Eukaryota; Viridiplantae; Streptophyta; Magnoliopsida; Malvales; Malvaceae
Source: Rfam
UGUUAAAAAAAUUAUUCAUUUGUUCUGUUAAAAAUUGGUGUAGUUAACGGAAUAACCAGGCAGUAACAUGUGACGUGUCACGUUUAUCUCAUGAUGAUGUAUGAGGAUCAGUCUUUAACAGUGGAAAUGAAUGAAAUUUUUAAUA